This 73-nucleotide transfer RNA is filed under the name Trichonephila inaurata madagascariensis. It matches the Rfam family "tRNA". Rfam says of the family: Transfer RNA (tRNA) molecules are approximately 80 nucleotides in length. The record is from Rfam by way of RNAcentral. Lineage: Eukaryota; Metazoa; Arthropoda; Arachnida; Araneae; Nephilidae.
GUCCCUGUAGCGCAAUGGAUAGCACGUUGGACUUCUAAUCCAAAGGUCGUGGGUUCGAAUCCCACUUUGGAUG